CUUCGGGAACUCUGAAGACAGGUGCUGCAUGGCUGUCGUCACCUCGUGUUGUGAAAUGUUGGGUUAACUCCCGCUACUAGCGCAACCCUUAUCCUUUGUUGCCUGCGGUUCUGCCGGGAACUCUCAGGAGACUGCCAGUGAUAAACUGUAGGAAUGUGGGGGAUGACCCCCCAGUCAUCA
RNAcentral lists this ribosomal RNA (180 nucleotides) under uncultured bacterium. RNAcentral's name for it is "partial 16S ribosomal RNA". It matches the Rfam family "Bacterial small subunit ribosomal RNA", at positions 1018 to 1195 of the family's 1533-position model. The record is from RNAcentral.